Molecule: unclassified non-coding RNA, 405 nt
Filed under: soil metagenome
Description: partial contains 5.8S ribosomal RNA, internal transcribed spacer 2, and large subunit ribosomal RNA
Rfam family: 5.8S ribosomal RNA (bases 1-122)
Source: RNAcentral
GAUGAAGAACGUAGCGAAAUGCGAUACUUGGUGUGAAUUGCAGAAUCCCGUGAACCAUCGAGUUUUUGAACGCAAGUUGCGCCCGAAGCCUUUUGGCCGAGGGCACGUCUGCUUGGGCGUCACGCAUCGCGUCGCCCCCCCACAAUUCUCCGUAAAGGGAACAUGUGUUUUGGGGGCGGAUAUUGGUCUCCCGUGCUCAUGGCGUGGUUGGCCGAAAUAGGAGUCCUUUCGAUGGACGCACGAACUAGUGGUGGUCGUAAAAACCCUCGUCUUUUGUUUCGUGCUGUUGCUCGCAAGGUAAACUCUUUAAAAACCCCAAUGCGUCGUCUCUUGACGACGCUUCGACCGCGACCCCAGGUCAGGCGGGACUACCCGCUGAGUUUAAGCAUAUCAAUAAGCGGAGGA